This 2244-nucleotide ribosomal RNA is filed under the name Triticum aestivum (bread wheat). RNAcentral's name for it is "partial small subunit ribosomal RNA". Lineage: Eukaryota; Viridiplantae; Streptophyta; Magnoliopsida; Poales; Poaceae. The record is from RNAcentral.
AUGUAUUUUCUGGCAACAAGUAGUGUUGAUGUCAAUAAUGAUAAUCAAAUUGAAGAAUCUGAACAUGAUCAAGAUGAUGAUCAUAAUUCAAAUGUUGAUCAUGAGGUCAAUGAACAGUCCUCGGGCCAGGGUCUUGAUGUUAAUAAGGACAAUACGGAGGAGGAAAAUUUGCAGCCUUCACCCGAUGCUCCGAAUAUUGAUGAGCAGGUUGAUUCUCUGUUAUCUCUAUACGAUCCUAGAACAUGGGAUAAUCUUGACAACAGCAAACGGGAUAUUCUAAUUGAAAAGGGGCCUGUGAGAGAAAUGGAUCUGGUGUUCAAGGAUGAUGAGGGUAGACAUUUCUCAUAUUUUCACUACACCAGAAAGUUAGCUAAUGAAGAGGUUAUUCACAGAGAGUGGUUGGUUUACUCUAAAGAGGUUGACAAAGUUUAUUGUUUUUGUUGCAAGUUAUUCAAAUCAAAUCAGAACAGGUCAUUGCUAGCAUCUGAUGGAUUGAGGGACUGGAGGCGUAUUAGUGCAAGACUCAAAGAACAUGAGGUUAGUGCUGAACACUUUACCAACAUGAAUACAUGGAAUGAACUAAGGUUGAGGUUAAGCAGAAACAAAACAAUUGAUGAUGAGAUGCAGCAGAAGGUUGCAAAGGAAAAAGAGCAUUGGAGACAGGUAUUGCUCAGGAUAGUUUCUUUAGUGAAGUUUCUUGCAAAACGUAAUUUGGGAUUUCGAGGAACAAAUGAGAAGCUGUUUGAACAUAAUAAUGGCAAUUUUUUGGGCUCAGUUGAAAUGAUUGCUGAAUUUGAUCCUGUGAUGCAAGAACAUAUUAGGCGCAUUCAAAACAAGGAAAUACAUCAUCAUUAUCUUGGCCAUGGUAUCCAGGAUGAGUUGAUCUUACUUCUUGCUGAUUCUGUCAAAAAGUUUAUCUUAAAGACCAUCAAGGAUGCCAAGUAUUUCUCUGUUAUAUUGGACUGUACUCCAGAUGUGAGCCAUGAAGAACAAAUGACGCUAAUUGUGCGUUGUGUGAAUAUGUCAAGUAACAUUCCAAGAGUCGAGGAGUUUUUCCUAGAGUUUUUAAAGGUUCAUGAUACAUCAGGAUUAGGGCUUUUUAAUGUGUUGAUGGAUACAUUGGACUCUCUUGAUCUGGACGUUGCUGAUGUAAGAGGGCAAGGUUAUGACAAUGGUUCUAACAUGAAGGGAAAAAAUCAAGGUCUGACUCUCAAACCUUUGUCUGAUACUCGUUGGGAGAGCCGAAUAAAGAGUGUGCAACCUAUAAGGUACCAAACUUCCCAAGUAAGAUCAGCUUUGAAGGAGUUGGAGAAGACUGCUAGGGAGGAUAAUGAUCCAGCUACAGUAAGUGAUGCUCAAUCUUUGUUCAAAGCACUUGGGAAAUUUGAGACUUUAGUUGGUAUGAUUAUUUGGCAUGACAUACUAUUUUCUAUUAAUAUGGUGAGCAAAAUGUUACAAGAAAAAAUGGUGUGCAUCGAUGCUACUCUAAAACACAUUGAUGGGGUCAAGUCAUAUUUUGAGAAGUAUAGAGAUGAAGGCUUCAAUUCUAGUAUUGAAAGUGCCAAAGACAUUGCGUUGGAUAUGGGCAUAGAGCCCCAAUUUCGUACAAAACGUAAAAGUAAAAGGAAGAAGCAUUUUGAUGAAAUCAAUGAUGAAGAUGAAGAUCUACAACUGUCAGCUAUUGAAUCCUUCAGAGUUACAUACUUUCUUGUCAUUGUUGACACCGCAAUUGCUUCAUUGUCUAGUCGAUUUGAUCAGCUGAAGGCAUUUGAAGAUUUGUUUGGUUUCUUAUUCAACUCAAAUAAUCUGAAGUCUUUGGAUGAAAGUAGUCUACGCAAAUCAUGCACCACUUUUGCAAAAGCUUUUACUCAUAAGAAGUCGCGAGAUGUUGAUCUUGAUGAUUUUUUCUCCGAGUUAAAAGUAUUGCAACUAACCUUGCCAGAUGCUUUGAUGUCAGCACUUGAGAUUCUUCAGUUUGUUACCACUGCAAAUUGCUAUCCAAAUGUAUCAGUUGCCUAUCGGAUCCUCUUGACUAUACCUGUGACUGUAGCCUCAGCUGAAAGAAGUUUCUCUAAACUGAAACUAUUGAAGAAUUGUUUGAGGUCAACUAUGUUACAAGACAGAUUGAAUGGCUUGGCUACAUGUUGCAUUGAGAAGGAUAUCUUGGAUAAAAUUGAUCUUGAGAUUAUAAUCAAUGAUUUUGCAUCUAGAAAUGCCCGGAGAAGCUUUUUUAUGAAGCAUUGA